Molecule: ribosomal RNA, 211 nt
Filed under: uncultured bacterium
Lineage: Bacteria
Description: partial 16S ribosomal RNA
Rfam family: Bacterial small subunit ribosomal RNA
Source: RNAcentral
UACGGAGGGAGCCUAGCGUUAUUCGGAAUUACUGGGCGUAAAGCGCACGUAGGCGGCUUUGUAAGUAAGAGGUGAAAGCCCCAGAGCUCAACUCUGGAAUUGCCUUUUAGACUGCAUCGCUUGAAUCAUGGAGAGGUCAGUGGAAUUCCGAGUGUAGAGGUGAAAUUCGUAGAUAUCGACAGGAACACCUGCGGCGAAAGCGGCCUUCUGG